RNAcentral lists this small RNA (28 nucleotides) under Bombyx mori (domestic silkworm). RNAcentral describes it as "ovarian small RNA-29437". Lineage: Eukaryota; Metazoa; Arthropoda; Insecta; Lepidoptera; Bombycidae. The record is from RNAcentral.
UCUACAGGUAAGCCACGUCCGUAUUUGA